This 142-nucleotide ribosomal RNA is filed under the name uncultured bacterium. RNAcentral's name for it is "partial 16S ribosomal RNA". It matches the Rfam family "Bacterial small subunit ribosomal RNA", at positions 355 to 510 of the family's 1533-position model. The record is from RNAcentral.
UGGGGAAUAUUGGGCAAUGGGCGCAAGCCUGACCCAGCAACGCCGCGUGAAGGAAGAAGGCUUUCGGGGUUGUAAACUUCUUUUGUCAGGGAAGAGUAGAAGACGGUACCUGACGAAUAAAGCCACGGCUAACUACGUGCCA